GCGCUUGCUUCAGCAGCACAUAUACUAAAAACUGGAACCAUACAGAGAAGAUUAGCAUGAUCCUUGAACACGAAUGAUACACAAAUCUGUGAAGCAUUCCAUAUUUUU
Molecule: small nuclear RNA, 108 nt
Filed under: Notamacropus eugenii (tammar wallaby)
Lineage: Eukaryota; Metazoa; Chordata; Mammalia; Diprotodontia; Macropodidae
Source: RNAcentral